UCAAUCGCCCCGUGAGUUGUGAGUGGGAGGAUCCUGCCAAUUCUAGUUCACGGGUGUGCAACUAGUGGCUGAUAUCUUCCCUCCCUUCUUAUAUAAAUGGUGAGUGGCUCAUACAUGCAUCAUAUUCAUAUAUAAUCAAUUAGAUAUAGCUUGUUGAGAUUUUGUUAAGUGUGAUAUAACUAUGAAGUUGGUGGGUUUGGUGUUGAUGGUGUUUAUGAUUGGAACCGCACUAGUGUUCGAGAGUUGCACAGCAGUGAGUCUGUGUAACAUGGACGAGGGUGGCAUACUGGCCUGUAAGCCAUCAGUCACCAACCCCAAUCCGGUCGAUCCCUCUGCCGAUUGCUGCAAGGCUCUCUCCGGAGCUAACUUGACGUGCUUGUGUUCUUACAAGAACUCACUCUUCCUGCCUUCUCUAGGCAUUGAUCCUCAUCUUGCCUUGGCUCUCCCUGCCAAAUGCAACCUUCCCAGUCCUUCUGAUUGCUAAGCUGUUUUUACCUGAAAAUGGCAACCUGAGAAGGAACUGAAGAAUGAAGAAACAAUCUUAUGGUUUGAGGUUUAGAAGCAGCAAGGACUACUUCUGGAUGUUAAUUAGUAGUGAAAAAUAUUUGGUUAUGAAGUUUGAAGAAUGUUAAUGACUCACGUUUUCUGUAAUUUAUCUAUAUGAUUAGUUAAGUUUACACAGCAUGAA
Carica papaya (papaya) is the source of this 688-nucleotide long non-coding RNA. RefSeq lists it as uncharacterized. NCBI's taxonomy places the organism in Eukaryota, Viridiplantae, Streptophyta, Magnoliopsida, Brassicales, Caricaceae. The record is from RefSeq and is a predicted model, not a curated record.